GAUGAACGCUGACAGAAUGCUUAACACAUGCAAGUCUUUGGCGAAGCUGUGCUUGCACCGCCUAGCCAAGGCGGACGGGUGAGUAACGCGUAAGGAACUUGCCCUGCAGUCAGGGAUAACAGACGGAAACGACUGAUAAGACCGGGUAAAGUCAGGCGGACUCAUUUCCGGCCUGAUGAAAAGAGAUGCUGCAGGAGAGCCUUGCGUCCUAUUAGCUUGUUGUGGGGGUAACGGCCCACCAAGGCGAUGAUAGGUAGCCGGCCUGAGAGGGUGGACGGCCACAAGGGGACUGAGAUACGGCCCUUACUCCUACGGGAGGCAGCAGUGGGGAAUAUUGGACAAUGGGGGCAACCCUGAUCCAGCAAUGCUGUGUGCACGAUGAAGGUUUUCGGAUUGUAAAGUGCUUUCAGCAGGGAAGAAAAAAUGACGGUACCUGCAGAAGAAGCGACGGCUAAAUACGUG
This 462-nucleotide ribosomal RNA is filed under the name uncultured bacterium. RNAcentral's name for it is "partial 16S ribosomal RNA". It matches the Rfam family "Bacterial small subunit ribosomal RNA", at positions 28 to 507 of the family's 1533-position model. The record is from RNAcentral.